AGCUACGCAUCGCUGGGAAAUAAUUAUUCAUGGGUCUCCUACCGUUUUGUGCAUCUGUGAGCGAAAUACCGACUGUCCCUUAUCCUGGACUAUCUUUUCAAGGUUGUUAGUGUAGUAAAUAACUUUGGAAGAUGGAGACAGUGUUUCUCUUCAGAGUAAAGGGUGUCAGCUGUCUCUCUUCACAUCGGCCUGGGGAGAUAGGGCUUAGGAAAUUGGUGCACAGAUGCUGAUAUCUGACUACUGCUAUUGCUAAACCUGAGAACUUUCAACACUGGCAAACCAAAUGGAUGAUUCUGCCUUGUACAGAAGAAAAUCAAUAAACAUUAGCUCUUCUGAGGCAGACAAAUUACAGAAACCGCAAGUCCCACAGUGUUUCAUAAUUUUAUG
Molecule: long non-coding RNA, 387 nt
Organism: Homo sapiens (human)
Lineage: Eukaryota; Metazoa; Chordata; Mammalia; Primates; Hominidae
Exons: 3
Source: RefSeq, a predicted model, not a curated record